RNAcentral lists this unclassified non-coding RNA (200 nucleotides) under Coprinopsis sp. RNAcentral's name for it is "partial internal transcribed spacer 2". Lineage: Eukaryota; Fungi; Basidiomycota; Agaricomycetes; Agaricales; Psathyrellaceae. The record is from RNAcentral.
UUAAGUUCAGCGGGUAGUCUUACCUGAUUUGAGGUCAAAAAUGUCAUAUGUUGUCCAGUGAAGGACGGUUAGAAGCAGGUUCAUAAUAGCCUUCCCAUCCACGGCGUAGAUAAUUAUCACACCAAUAGAUAGGGGACCAAACCCACUAAUACAUUUCAGAGGAGCAGACCACAGAGUGGACCUGCAAACCCCCACAUCCA